CCAAAUGUUUCUGCUCUGUUUUAUUGAACAGAUAAAGAGAAAAACCAAAGGAUCUAAGAGGCCUUCCAGGUUCAUAAACCAGCAGCAUUUCUGAGAGGUUGUCUGCUGCAAUUACAUGAAGUAAACUAGUCACAGAAUUUUAAAAUCUAUAUGAAAACUAACACUUAAGCACUUCAGUAAUGAAUAUGUGUAAAUAUUAAAGGCUACAUCUCUUUAUUGCUCAGAAAAACAAAUACUCUCACUUUGGAAAAGACAAGAGCCUUGAAAUUGAAAUCCGAGUCAAAAUUCACUCCUAAAUCUCUCGUUUUUUGCCUUGGGUUGAGUCUCAGUGUAUUUACUUUGAGGGUCAGCUUCCUUUUUUGGCAUUAAUCCGUUUUAUAAUACUUUCUGAAUUUACUACCGUGUCUCAGCCCCAAGCCCAUGAUUCUUCCAAAAAGCAUCCUCUCUUUCUCUUUAAAACUUCUAGUCAUUGAGAGUAAAUUGUGGUCUAUUUUCAGCUGUAGAUCAGUAUGUGCUAGUGAGUCAUUUUAACAGCAGGACAGUUUAUCAUAAUAGUGAAGAAACCAGUCGAGUGCAGCUGAAGUUGUUGGUUUUUGUCUUUCCACUGAAUUCAAUAGAAACUAAAUGCAAAACCUGCUUGUUUGACAGUUUCCCACAACAAACAAUUUAUUGUGGGUUAAUUCUGUUUCCUGAUAUCCUUGACUUGUGCUGUUUCAACAUCCCACAUUGCAAAUAAAUAACUGCAGCAUUUGCAAUGUCAAGACAUCUAGUUAAUUUCCAGUGAAUGCAAACCUCUGGAGUAGUUGUUCCUCUUUAGUGAAGGACACAGUUCGGUGUUUUCCAAGCAGAGGCACGUAAUGUUUAACUUUAUGACUCAGCUGGACUGUUAGCACCGAGUUAGGCAUCUAUCACAUACUUCUGUCACCUUUACCUGCUUCCUACAUGCAUCUCCGUCACCUGUGCCGUCCUCCAGCACAAACAACUGCACCUCCAAACCCUCUCUGCUCUCUCCCAUUAGCCAAAUAAAUGAGCGAGCGGGACAGCGGCGCUCUAAUUCAGCCUCACUGACUAAUGGACUCAGCUGGCAGCUACAUCUGCUCGCCAUUGGGGAGCGCCAAGGCUGUUCACAUGCAUUAGCAGCAGAUCUCUAUUCCAGAAGCUUGUUCAGGUAGCGGCAGACCAGCUUGAGGCCACGUUGGACCCAAGAGGAAUUGCCUUGCUCUGACCAGCAAAUAUGGGAAGUGAACCUUACGGCCCAAAAUAGAACAAAAUCAAUGGGGCUGUGGAGCUUGUCUGUGCCAUGCAAAAGCAAAUGCCUGAGCCAUUGAUUUUUCCAUCUGAAUUAUGUGCCAUCGACCCCCUUGAAGUCCUCUUAAUUAGAGCUGUAUUAACAGGAGGAUAAAAGAGUGAGGGGAAGCCUAUAGAUGCUGAUAAAUGUUCGAGGGGCGACUCAAGCCAAAAUCCUAAUAGUUCUCCUUUCCGGAUGAGUCAAACGCAUUUUUGUGCGUACUUUACCAGACCACGUAAAGGUCUACUUCACAUAAUAGCACCUUUUUGAGUCCCAACAGUAGCUGGAAGUGGCUGCACUCGGUGCUGAUAGCUUCUGUACACAGAGGGAUUGAAACUGUCAGUAGAACUCUCCCUCAUAUUAGAACUAAUCUGCCACUGAGCAACUUUAUCCAGCCCCGAUUAGUCACGGAAAAGGAGGCUGUGUGCUGCCGACUGAAGCUCUGACAUCUCAGCGCUUCCCUGUAAUGCACCGAGGAGGUUGGAGAGGAGCUGGCAGCGAGCGGUCAUUAGUGUCUGGAGGAUGGGUGUAUUCUCUGUCACCGACAAUGAAAUCGAUUUGUUCUGUGGAGGCCUGAGUGUCUGAUAUCACACCGGUAGUUGUCAGGAGAAUCACUUAACUCCCAGACUAGUCAGCUCAACAGCUGGAACAUUUUUUGACAUAAAAUUGCAGAGUUCAGUCCAGACAAAAGAAACAUUUAUGUUGUUUUAGGAAACCCAUUAUGAAAGUCAUCGUCGCUUCAUCAGCUCGAACAAAAAGUACAAGCCACUUGAGCUGAAUUCUUUACGCUUGAAGCGAAGACAGACAUCUGGAUUGUUUUCUUGUUUUCUUUUUAACAAAGACAGCUGUGUUUUCUGCUUUAUCAGUGUUUGGGCUCAAAGAGGGGUCUGAUUUCUGGACUCCUUUUGAAUUGAUGAUCUGCUUGCUGGCUGUGGAGGAACAGCAGUGAUGAAGGAAGACGCAGACAAGACUCUAAAAGCUUCACAGGUUGUGCUGUUUGUCUGAUCCAGAUUUAGAUGAACCCAGCUCAAGCCUUCAGACUUGGCAUCAUGACUUUGGAAUUCGUAAAAGGUUUUCCUAAUAACCAAAUCAGUCUCAAUCUUAAUCAAUGGCUUAUGUUAUCUGUUUAAAUAUGUAUUUUUGACCUUGGAAUUAAUUGAAAGGUGGUACGUUUCCUCACAGUUGAGACAGGUGUGACAUUUUUGCCAGAGAAAUAAGUCAUUUACUUAUAUUGCUAUAAAUAGACCAUCUAUAAAUAGAUCAUUUUCAUUCCUUUUUUUUUCUUCCUGAUUUCUAAUGCAAUCAAAUGCCAGCUAUUGAAGCUGGAAGUCAAAUCAACACAUUCUCUGCUUUGUAACCCGUUUGCAAUUCAGCACAGCAGAUUUUGCAACACAUUGCACAAAGCUCUUACGAAAAAACACUGGAAAUCUUGCAUAAAGUCAUUUGUUUGCCCUAUUAUUUAAUCUGCCACACCUAUGGACUAAGUGACCAAUACAUGGCUCAUCUUUCCAGGCACCUAAUUGCUUAAGUGUUAACUCAACAAUCAGGAUGUAAACACUAUAAUAAGACCACAAUGAGAAUCUUUUUGCAUAAAAAGUGAAAGCAGGAAGAGAAAGAGUGAGAGAUUGGGGCAGACAGGUAUAUUGAAAAAAAGGAAUUUUGAUUAAAUCCAGGCACUAUUUUUGACUGCGUUAUCCACCAAUGCUGAGAACAGGUGAACAGAGAAUCCAUUAUAAUUCAGGAUUCAACAAACCAUAGUGCAUAUUUAAGCUGUGUAUUAAAUUACUGCUUUGUCAUACUAUAGCUGUACAAGAUCCCUGCUCAAUUUGUAGAGAUUUUGAAUGUUGAGUGAGACACGGGAAGCAACAAUGAUCAGUUUUCAUUUAAUGAAUAAUAAAAUUUACACUCUAAUCCAUUUUAUAAGAUACAACACAGUUUUCAACAUCUACAGAGGUCAGUAUCCUCCAUCCAAACCAAGAGCACAUGAAGCACAUUUACAGGUUGACUCAGGAUUUCUGAAAGAAUCAAAGAUCGGAGACAUGAAACGGUGAAUGUAAGUGCAUAGCUCUACACACAGAACAGUAUUUUUCCCAGCGUACUGGACUACACCAUACUGACUGUUUUUGUUGUUGUUCUUUUCAGAGAGACCUGGAAUGCUAAUGUGAUCCCACAUGACUUUAUUCUUAUCGAUGAUUCUGGCAUCAACCUCACAGACCAGGAGAAAGGGAAUGGGCAUCAGUGGAGUCAUUGUAGAUGCACAUUUUUGGACAGAGUGCAUGACAUUCUGGUGGAUGAUGCUGAGGAACAGCACAGAGAUGUUGUAGUAUAAAACAAUGCUGGCUUCUGUUGUGCAGCUCUGCUCCAAAACUGGUUUAUUGAACAGCCACUGUUUCUUAUUCAAUAUCUUCCGUCCUCCUCUCCAUUUCUCAGUCCAGAUGAAGACAGGUGUAUGACUAUGAGCGCUACUGUAUGUGCGGAUUUCUCUUUAGCAGGCAAUAAAAGAGGCAGGUGAUAAGAUUGAAGUGGGUGCUGGAGAUGAUUCUCGAAGCACUUCUUUCCUCACUAGGAGAAGAUAUUGUCAGUGAUGUUGAUGAGGUGCUGUGGACACAUCUGGACAGCGAGUUUGUUUUUCACUUUUCUGAAUGUUUUUUUCAGUUUUACAGAGCUGUAUUUCAUUCACAAAGCUGCAAUAUGUACUGCACUGUAUGUGCUGUGCUCAUUUCUUGUGGAGAAACAUAGAGAGGAUUUUUUUUUCAACAGUAUAUUUAUUUCUGCACAUAUUUCUGUAGGGCUGCACAGUGGCUUGGUGGUUAGCGGUUUCACCUCGCAGCUGGAAGAUCGCCGGUUCUUUCUGCAAGGAGUUUGCAUGUUCUCCCUGUACAUGUGUGGGUUUUCUCUGGGUUCUCCGGCUUCCUCCCACAGUCCAAAAAAUGCUCAGGUUAAUUAGUAACUCUAACUUGUCCAUAGGUGUGAAUGUGAGUGUGGUUGUUUGUCUGUAUAUGUAGCCCUGUGAUAGACUGGUGACCUGUCCAGGGUGUCACCUGUCUUCACCCAAAGUCAGCUGGGAUAGAUUCCAGCCUCCUGUGACCCUAAUGAGGAUUAAGCGGUGUAUAGAUAAUGGAUGGAUGGAUCUAUAUUUCCGUAGACUUGAACAGAAAUACCAUAAUGACAUAGCCUGUGAUAAAAAUCCAGCAAUAUAAAUGAAAUGAAUGCCAUUUGGUGCCAAAUUCAGAUUUUGAUAAGCACUUUUGUAGUUCUUGUGUUUCAGAAAGUAAACUUUGUUUUCUUCAAUGUGUUUUUGAAGUUGCUAAAACUGCACUCUUUAGUUUCUUUGAGCACAACAGCCAAGUAUGACUUUCAGCAAGAAGAAUACAAGCCACACAUUGUAUCACCAAAAUCCCCAAAUUUUCUUACAAAUGCCAAAGACUUGACCUCAAAGGCAACUCCAGGCCUUCACAAACAACACAGCAGUUUGAACAUGUGAGUCCAAAUCUGGCUCAUGACAUCCUAAUGUGAUACUUUGCUGACACCAAUUAGGAAAUUUGGCUUUUUUUUUUCUUCUUGUUUUCCUCUGGGGAAGUAAAAGGUCAGGGUGAACUGCAAAACGGCUCCAGUAGAAAUGGGAGGAAUUUCGUUGUUGUGCUUCCAGACAGUCACAGGUUUUAACACAGUGGUACCAUUGACGAUUAGUGUUUUUGCUCACCAACCCACUCAGUGCUGUUAUUCUGUAUGAAGUUAUUAAUGGUAACCCCGUGCCAACCUUUCUAUACCUCAUAACAUGACAGCUUUUGUAUCCUCUUUCCUUUUUACUGGUUGACUGCCUGACUUUACGUGACCUCGUAUGACUUUCAGACUCUUGAGUAAGUGUUUCUUUUAAAAAAAAAAAAAAAUCACAUGUUUGUUGUUCUGUACGUACAGUACAUUUACUUACAAAGGCGAAAGGCUCUUAGCCUCUUUAGCCAACACCCAUAUCUAAAGGCUGCCUGACUCACUGUGUGGCACAAUGUGGGAGGACAGUGAUACUGAGACGAGUCAAAAGAGUAGUCUUAAAGAGAAGAAAAGGGCUGGGUGGGUGUCAUCUUAACAAUGGAAACUGUGUCCAAGAAGUUCAUCAGCAUUGCAGAAGAUCCUCUUUCCUGUCACUUACUACAGUGAUUCAUAGAAUUCAGAAUAACAAAUUCAUCAGAGUUGUUGUCUGAGAGGUGGUUUCUGCUGAAUAAUGGUUUCAUUUCACCUUAGAAUGUAGGAAUUGCAUUGUCAUGCCUGCAUCACCAGACACUAGAUCCUGCCAUGAACCUGGACAUCACUGAAGACAGCAAUUACAGUUUAAUUUUUAAGUUGAUGUGCUGUGAAUUUGUGAGACAUGUCACCCUGAUUUCUUAUUUCUAACACCUCACUGUCUCUCCACAGUCUACUUCCUUCACAGUUGUCUUUCAGGGCAGACAUAUGACAAAUGUUGAUCCUGAGUGACAGAAAUGUCGCAUGAGUUCUGAGUCAUAAUAGUAAUGAAUUUUCAUGAUACAAUUAUUGUGGCCAAAAAAAUUCACGAAAAUUAUAUUUUAGGGAAUUCUGUCGAAAAUUUGUGGGGGUAAUAAUCACUGUUCCCUCUAAGCUGCGCGCGUGCGCAAUUGUGCACUGCUGACACGGUCUCCGCGCACAGAAAAUCUAUGCUGCGCACAAAAAAAAAAAUCCAACCUAAAUUGUAAAUAAAAUAAACACGUAACAAUUCAUUCUGUGCUAUUUUUCAGUGUGAGUCAGUGAGUGACCGGUGACUGGCUGCUGCAGCCAAUGAUGCAAUUCACAUACGUAUUUACCAUACCAUAGACUGUAUAUAAUAGUAUUUACGCAGCUAAUCAACGUCAGGCGUCCUUAUGUGCGGCCAUCGUUGUUGUCAUAGAUAUGAAUGAGUAGAUAGGACACGCCCCUUUGAGCUGCGGCUACAGCGAGGCUAAGCUAGUGGGGCCAAAGUUUCAGUGCAUUCCGUUGAUGUAGACGGCGUGAAAACGGAAACAAGUAUGCCGGCUCACUGUGCUGCAUACAAUUACACACUGCGUCGUACGAUUGAGACAAGGAAACUUGGAAUGACUUUUCAUAGGUUUCCCAGAGACUAUGGGUUGAGGAGGAAUUGGAAGUUUUUCGGCUUAGACCUGGUGUCAUUCCAUCAGUGUUAAACUUCCUGGCUCAUCUUGGAAGAGUACGUGCCAGAAAGACCACGACCAAGCAGCCUUGAGAUCUUAGGCAGCGUCUCCCUGAGGUCUCUCUCUAUCUCCCCACACAUGCACCAACCACUGGAACACAUCUCCAAAGUUCUGCUGGACCAGCUCAGCUUCCCCUCAGAAGAAGUGCCGCCACCUGCCAGAUGAAGGAGCCUUUUGAGAGGCAGCUGGCAUCGUGAUUGGACUGUACUUUGGUCUGUUCCAAUCCAGCUUCAGCUCCAGAGACGGCAGGCGGGACGAGUCAACGGAGGCCUGGUGGACGAAGGCAUGCAGCUGAGUACAAUACAGAAAACAACAGAGGAGGAGUGCAGCGACCCAGGGCCAGAACAACCAGAGUAGCAUCGUAUGUCUCUUAGAAAACAUCAUAGUAUAGCCUUUGGUAUGAAAAAAACAGCAUAAUAUACAUCGUAUAUUGUACAAAUAACAAGUCAAAGGAAAGAGACAUAUAUUGUAGAAUUGUAGUAAUUGUGGGCUGACUGAUUUACUGAUUAUCAAUAUUUUAUUUUUUACUGAUUUACGGUAAUAAAUACAUUUAAAAAUGG
This is a long non-coding RNA of Amphiprion ocellaris (clown anemonefish), 7046 nucleotides long. RefSeq lists it as uncharacterized. The record is from RefSeq and is a predicted model, not a curated record. The transcript is spliced from 3 exons. NCBI's taxonomy places the organism in Eukaryota, Metazoa, Chordata, Actinopteri, Pomacentridae.